Molecule: long non-coding RNA, 928 nt
Filed under: Homo sapiens (human)
Lineage: Eukaryota; Metazoa; Chordata; Mammalia; Primates; Hominidae
Description: HSALNT0144063
Source: RNAcentral
UUUAGCACCCUGCAGCCUCGCAGUGGGCAGGAGACGCCCCGCCGCCCCGAGCUGAGUUCAUCUUCCCGAAACCCCCGGAGCCGCGGGCAUCUCACCACGCUGCUCUGAGAAUAGCCCGGGAGCAACAGGGCCGGCGGCUGGUUUCUGCAUCAAUUCUCCUCCCCCUAGUAACGGCUCUGAAAACGCGGAGACACGGAGAGCAGAAAACGAAAUUUUAAUGUACUGUGGCGUGAACUUCUGGAAAAGGGUCUCCAGCACAAGAACUCAGUUCAAUGACUUAAAAUAAAUGGGCGGGGUUGGAGGGGUGGGGGCAGAAGAAACUAGCUGCUUAAGAGUAACGGGAGCACUGAAGAAGGAUUCCUGCAGAAAGCGAGCCGCCGAACAUGCUGUUUAUUGCACUUAAGGCACCUGAGCAUGUUGGUGUGGACGCGCUGGCUUGUUGAAUUUUCCUUAUUUUUCUUUUUAAAGGUAUUUUUCCCUCCUUCUUUCUCCAUGGUGACAGCCAUUUUGCCACCAGGGAAGGAAUAUGGAACACCACCUAUGAUUCUCUGCAUGGACCGUGGCUCUGCCUUCACUUCUGCUGACCCCUUUGCUCAGAAUUCAUGUAUUUGUGUUUUUCACUUGGCUGACUUCGUCUCAAAUAAAGCCAAGAAGAAUCAUCAUCUCUUCCAGGAAGGUUUCUCUACCUAUCUCCCUGUCCCGCCCUCCACCUCCUUGCCCCAGGUUUUCCUCCUUUUAUGAUCUCUUGGCAUUUGUGGCCUGCUUAAUAAUCAAACCCCAUAUUCUAUUAUGAUUAAUAGGUUCCUAUUGUCUUAGAACUAGUAUUGAAGAGUUCUUAUUAUGUGUGGGACCAAUUCCUAGAUCUGGGGCGCAUCUCUUCCUGGAAUUGCUGUUUGACAAAGGGCUGUUUUGCAAACUCAAGCAUCUA